UUAUUUAGUUUUUUAUUUUUUAAACAACUGGCUUCCAUUAACCAAGGGUUAAAUAACCGUUACAUCAGUUCAAGAGAACAGCAAAUGCAAUAAUGACAAAGUAAAAGCAACAAUAAAUUACCACAAAGAAAAAACCCCCCAAACAGCCCCUAGAAACCAAAACGACUGUGGAACCCAGAUGAAUAAUCUUCCUGAAUUCUUCCUCACCACUACUGCAUGAAACUAGAUGAACAAACUCAGAGAGAAUCAGCUUUGAUAACCUCCAAGGAGUACCAGAUAAACAUUCCCCAUUCCACAAAGCUAACUAUUGUUACCCAUAUCCCUAUGUAACCACUUAUGCCAGUCAGCAGCCACUAUUCGAUCUACCGCAGCCGGCGCUUCCUCUACCCAGUACAUUGGCUCCGAGAACCGACGUCCUUCACCCGCAAGGACAUGCGCCGCCAUGUUAGCGUCUCUUCUAACAAAUCGGAAGGUAAUCUUCUCAAAACAUCUCACAUAAUCCUUAAUAUCUUGGAUAACUGGGCUCAGUACCGAUCUAUCCGCUGUUUUUGAGUUGAUUUUUUUUUAUUGUUGUUAACGAGUCACCUUCAAUUUGAACAGCUCGGAAACCCAUCUCUACCGCAAAUAUAACCUUCCUUUCACACGCUCGAGCCUCUGCUAUAAACGCGUCAGCUAUACCAAUAUGUAGGUAAGUGCAUGCUCCCAUUAUCUGGCCCGAGUCAUUUCUAGCUAUAGUCCCAGAAAUGGAACCUUUGCUUGCUGCAUGAAACGACGCAUCAAAGUUAAUCUGUAUGCUACCCAUUUCUGGAGGCCUCCAUAAUUCUUGUUUAGCAAUCAACAGUGGUUCCAUCUAGUUUUUAUUUUUAAAAAUAUCAAUUUAAUCGGAUGAUGGUUUUUUUUUAAUUUUAUUUGUAUAAUUAAAAGAUUAGUCUAAUAAAUUACAAUUCAUAAUAAAAUUUUUAACUUCUGAUACCAACUUACUCAAGAAUAUUAUGAAGAUAAAUAUUUAAAAAUUUUGAAUAUAAUUGAUCGCAUCCCAUUUAGAGGAUCUGCUUCAGCCAUUCCAUACCAAACCUCUCCACAACCAAUUAUUAUUAUCAUCCAUUUUCAUGAUAAAGAAAUCCGAUCUGAGGCGGUACGAUAUUAUGAUAAAGCACAAGUGGGCACUUUCUUUUUGACCCAUUGAGAUCGACAUAUAUUUGCCGGAACUUCCCACCGCGGUUCCACUGCCAUUUGAAACAAUUUAAAUGCAUACCAUCAGCUGACAAUGAUUACAUAUCCUAACCGAUUGCCUAUGGGAACAAAGAACCAACCCCAAGGUUUUGAACGUUCAGGACAUCAAUAUCACCCACAGCAUAAUGGAGCAGCCUCUGCUCCAUGAGAAGUCUUCACCCUCACACACCAUUGCUCGAAAACCACUACUAUCAUUUUAUAUUCCUAUAUAAAAGGUCUGAUGCUUUACUGACUUUAGCUUUCCCUCUCCCAAUCAUAUACAAUCAAAGAUGAGCAGAGGUUCUUUUUACAUCCAAAUUUGAUAAAAUGAAAGGUGUGAUGCAAAAGGUUGUGGGGAGGGUAUAAACACAUGCCAAUCACUAACCUCUAAAAUAAAUACAUGUGAAGCGGUUUACAUACGUAUGUAGGAAUGUAUGGGUACUCGCUACAUAUUCAACUAUCAGAUAUGUAGGGCCAUCCAUCAUUAAUUAAUGGGUACAUGCCACAUAUUCAACCCUAAAUGUCACGUACAACUUCGAAUAUAUGGAAAAAAGAAAAGAAUCCAAACACGUUUUGAAGAUUCUUGUGACUGAAGGCGAUAUAAAACCAGUAUUAAUUCCUCUCCUAAAGUUAUUCCAUAACUGAAUAUUCAUUUCUUAAAGAACCUAGCUCUAAUGGCAUGCAAUUUUUUUUAUUAUGUUUUAUUGUUCAUAUUCGAAAUUUAUGAAUACCUAAAUUACGAAUCCUUACAAUUUAGGAAAAAAAACUGAUCAAAGCAACUUGAAAUCUAUGGUAAUUCCAUAUUUGACUAUCAAAAGUAGAAACAACAGCUUAUCUUGUUAUUGUCCAAGAAAUUGAAUAUUUUACAUCCAUAAAGGGCUAAACCAGGAUUAAUCAUAGAAAGAACAGAUAUAGCAAGAAUAAAUCUUACAAAUAAAUAUAAUCCAUAUUACUAAAAUGUUUAACAAAUACCUAAUUUUUAACUUUGUUCACAACCCAAUAAAGUUUCAGUCAUAACAAGAAAAUUGUAAGAAGGGGAAAAAAGCCUCUAAAUUCUGACCAGGGCGAGAAAAUUUUCUUUCUUUAUCCGACCACUGGUAACUGAAUAAAAUCCCCCACCAACCUAACCAUGUACAAAAAAAAAAAAAACCUGUAAUGCCGCAAUUUUUCACCUUUUUAAGGCUUAACGCUUACCUGAACUUGGAAUUUAUCAGAAGCCUCGCCAUUUUGGGCUCGGAACUGGUACCGUCGGCGACAGCGAGAAUUCUAAUUGACUUGAAUUCGGAGAAAAUAGCAAACUUGGG
RNAcentral lists this long non-coding RNA (2516 nucleotides) under Gossypium barbadense (sea-island cotton). RNAcentral describes it as "long non-coding RNA (GBAR_LNC003923)". Lineage: Eukaryota; Viridiplantae; Streptophyta; Magnoliopsida; Malvales; Malvaceae. The record is from RNAcentral.